This 253-nucleotide ribosomal RNA is filed under the name uncultured bacterium. Its description in RNAcentral is "partial 16S ribosomal RNA". It matches the Rfam family "Bacterial small subunit ribosomal RNA", at positions 524 to 776 of the family's 1533-position model. The record is from RNAcentral.
UACGGAGGGUGCAAGCAUUAAUCGGAUUUAUUGGGCGUAAAGGGCGCGUAGGCGGAAGUGCCAGUCAGAUGUUAAAGCUCGGGGCUUAACCUCGAAAGAGCAUUUGAUACUGCACAUCUAGAGGGUAGACGGAGAAAAUAGAAUUCCACAAGUAGCGGUGAAAUGCGUAGAUAUGUGGAGGAAUACCGGUGGCGAAGGCGGUUUUCUGGACAGUGACUGACGCUGAGACGCGAAAGCGUGGGGAGCAAACAGG